AUCAGCUUUCGAUGGUAGUGUAUUGGACUACCAUGGCAGUAACGGGUAACGAAGAAUUAGGGUUCGAUUUCGGAGAGGGAGCAUGAGAAACGGCUACCACAUCUAAGGAAGGCAGCAGGCGCGUAAAUUACCCAAUCCUGACUCAGGGAGGUAGUGACAAGAAACAGCAAACCGGGAACCUCAUGGUUUCACGGUAUUGCAAUGAGAACAAUUUAAAACCCUUAGCGAGAAUCAAGUGGAGGACAAGUCUGGUGCCAGCACCCGCGGUAAUUCCAGCUCCACUAGCGUAUAUUAAAGUUGUUGCAGUUAAAAAGCUCGUAGUAGAACCUCUGUCUGGGGCUAGUUUUGGCUUUGGUCAGGCUAGUUCUAGGCAUCCGCCUACAAGACUUAGAGGGCAUUCAGUUGUUCACUAGGAGGAGUAGGCAUUUUACUUUGAAAAAAUUAGAGUGUUUAAGGCAGGCAAUCGCCCGCAUAUAUUAGCAUGGAAUAAUAGAAUAGGACACUUUUCCAUUUCGUUGGUUAUUGGAAUCGUGUAAUGAUUAAUAGGGACAGUUGUGGGCAUUUGUAUUUAAUUGUCAGAGGUGAAAUUCUUGGAUUUAUUAAAGACAAACUAACGCGAAAGCAUUUGCCAAGGAUGUUUUCAUUAAUCAAGAACGAAAGUUAGGGGAUCAAAGACGAUCAGAUACCGUCCUAGUCUUAACUAUAAACUAUUCCGACUCAAUGUUUGACUGGCUUAUAUAACCAGUUGAGCGUUGUAUGAGAAAUCAAAGUCUUUAGGUUCUGGGGGGAGUAUGGUUGCAAAGCUGAAACUUAAAGGAAUUGACGGAAGAGCACAACCAGGAGUGGAUUCUGCGGCUUAAUUUGACUCAACACGGGGAAACUUACCAGGUUAAAACAAUAGUGGGAUUGACAGUUUGAGAGCGCCUUCUUGAUUGGUUGGGUGGUGGUGCAUGGCCGUUCUUAGUUGGUGGAGUGAUUUGUCUGCUUAAUUGCGUUAACGAACGAGACCUUAACCUGCUUACUAGACUGGCGAUCAUCAAUCGUUAGCUCUUCUAGAGGGACUUUGGUUGUUUUAACUCCAAGGAAGUUUGAGGCAAUAACAGGUCUGUGAUGCCCUUAGAUAUCCUGGGCCGCACGCGUCAUACAAUGACUAGUUCAGAAAGUUUUCUCCUGACCCGAAAGGGGAUGGGUAAUCUUGAUAAUACUAGUCGUGUUAGGGAUCGAUCUUUGCAAUUAUAGAUCUUGAACGAGGAAUUCCUAGUAAGUGCGGUUCAUCAGACCGUACUGAUUACGUCCCUGCUCUUUGUACACACCGCCCGUCGCUUCUACCGAGUGGGUGGUCCGGUGAGAUAAUUGAACUUC
This 1362-nucleotide ribosomal RNA is filed under the name metagenome. RNAcentral's name for it is "SSU rRNA". It matches the Rfam family "Eukaryotic small subunit ribosomal RNA", at positions 314 to 1718 of the family's 1831-position model. The record is from RNAcentral.